AGUCAGUGGUAACACUGGGGCAAGCCGGUAGGGAGAGCGAUAGGCAAAUCCGUCGCUCACUAAUCCUGAGAGGUGACGCAUAGCCGGUUGAGGCGAAUUCGGUGAUCCUCUGCUGCCAAGAAAAGCCUCUAGCGAGCACACACACGGCCCGUACCCCAAACCGACACAGGUGGUCAGGUAGAGCAUACCAAGGCGUACGAGAUAACUAUGGUUAAGGAACUCGGCAAAAUGCCCCCGUAACUUCGGGAGAAGGGGGACCGGAAUAUCGUGAACACCCUUGCGGUGGGAGCGGGAUCCGGUCGCAGAAACCAGUGAGGAGCGACUGUUUACUAAAAACACAGGUCCGUGCGAAGUCGCAAGACGAUGUAUACGGACUGACGCCUGCCCGGUGCUGGAAGGUUAAGAGGACCCGUUAACCCGCAAGGGUGAAGCGGAGAAUUUAAGCCCCAGUAAACGGCGGUGGUAACUAUAACCAUCCUAAGGUAGCGAAAUUCCUUGUCGGGUAAGUUCCGACCUGCACGAAUGGCGUAACGACUUCUCAACUGUCUCAACCAUAGACUCGGCGAAAUUGCACUACGAGUAAAGAUGCUCGUUACGCGCGGCAGGACGAAAAGACCCCGGGACCUUCACUACAACUUGGUAUUGAUGUUCGGUACGGUUUGUGUAGGAUAGGUGGGAGACUGUGAAACCUCGACGCCAGUUGGGGCGGAGUCGUUGUUGAAAUACCACUCUGAUCGUAUUGGGCAUCUAACCUCGAACCCUGAAUCGGGUUUAGGGACAGUGCCUGGCGGGUAGUUUAACUGGGGCGGUUGCCUCCUAAAAUGUAACGGAGGCGCCCAAAGGUUCCCUCAACCUGGACGGCAAUCAGGUGGCGAGUGUAAAUGCACAAGGGAGCUUGACUGCGAGACUUACAAGUCAAGCAGGGACGAAAGUCGGGAUUAGUGAUCCGGCACCCCCGAGUGGAAGGGGUGUCGCUCAACGGAUAAAAGGUACCCCGGGGAUAACAGGCUGAUCUUCCCCAAGAGUCCAUAUCGACGGGAUGGUUUGGCACCUCGAUGUCGGCUCGUCGCAUCCUGGGGCUGGAGCAGGUCCCAAGGGUUGGGCUGUUCGCCCAUUAAAGCGGCACGCGAGCUGGGUUUAGAACGUCGUGAGACAGUUCGGUCUCUAUCCGCCGCGCGCGUCAGAAACUUGAGGAAACCUGUCCCUAGUACGAGAGGACCGGGACGGACGAACCUCUGGUGCACCAGUUGUCCCGCCAGGGGCACCGCUGGAUAGCCACGUUCGGUCAGGAUAACCGCUGAAAGCAUCUAAGCGGGAAACCUUCUCCAAGAUCAGGUUUCUCACCCACUUGGUGGGAUAAGGCCCCCCGCAGAACACGGGUUCAAUAGGUCAGACCUGGAAGCUCAGUAAUGGGUGUAGGGAACUGGUGCUAACCGGCCGAAAACUUACAACA
RNAcentral lists this ribosomal RNA (1453 nucleotides) under Mycobacterium tuberculosis. RNAcentral describes it as "bacterial LSU rRNA". It matches the Rfam family "Bacterial large subunit ribosomal RNA", at positions 1493 to 2925 of the family's 2925-position model. The record is from RNAcentral. Lineage: Bacteria; Bacillati; Actinomycetota; Actinomycetes; Mycobacteriales; Mycobacteriaceae.